AAGUCGUAACAAGGUUUCCGUAGGUGAACCUGCGGAAGGAUCAUUCACAAUGAGUGUUUAAUGGCACUCCAAAUCCAUUACCCACCUUGUGUGCAUUGUCGGGAGGACUCUUUUUCCCAAUCUUCUCUCUCACUCUCUCCUUUCUCCUCUUCCUCCCUCUCUCUCUCUCUUUGAGGGGAGAAGGGAGAGGGAAAGAGGGGAACUCCAUUUCAUUCAUACUCUGUUCUUCAGUAUCUGUCUACUUCAAUUGAGUAUAAAACUCGAAUACAACUUUCAACAACGGAUCUCUUGGCUCUC
RNAcentral lists this unclassified non-coding RNA (297 nucleotides) under fungal sp. RNAcentral describes it as "partial internal transcribed spacer region". The stretch from base 1 to 46 matches the Rfam family "Eukaryotic small subunit ribosomal RNA", at positions 1786 to 1831 of the family's 1831-position model. The record is from RNAcentral. Lineage: Eukaryota; Fungi.